This 136-nucleotide unclassified non-coding RNA is filed under the name uncultured fungus. RNAcentral describes it as "sequence contains ITS1". The record is from RNAcentral. Lineage: Eukaryota; Fungi.
AUCUUACAAUUACUUUUUUAAGUAAUAAAAAAAUUUUUUGUUUCAAAGUGUGGGUUUUAAAUACGUGCGCGAAAGAAAAUUUUUCCUUUCGCGCGGAAUGUUGAUAAUGAUCCUUCCGCAGGUUCACCUACGGAAA